This 425-nucleotide ribosomal RNA is filed under the name uncultured bacterium. RNAcentral's name for it is "partial 16S ribosomal RNA". It matches the Rfam family "Bacterial small subunit ribosomal RNA", at positions 354 to 796 of the family's 1533-position model. The record is from RNAcentral.
GUGGGGAAUAUUGCGCAAUGGGCGAAAGCCUGACGCAGCCAUGCCGCGUGAAUGAUGAAGGUCUUAGGAUUGUAAAAUUCUUUCACCGGGGACGAUAAUGACGGUACCCGGAGAAGAAGCUCCGGCUAACUUCGUGCCAGCAGCCGCGGUAAUACGAAGGGGGCUAGCGUUGCUCGGAAUUACUGGGCGUAAAGGGCGCGUAGGCGGACAGCUUAGUCAGAGGUGAAAGCCCAGGGCUCAACCUUGUAAUUGCCUUUGAUACUGGCUGUCUAGAGUUUGGGAGAUGUGAGUGGAACUCCGAGUGUAGAUGUGAAAUUCGUAGAUAUUCGGAAGAACACCAGUGGCGAAGGCGACUCACUAGCCCAAUACUGACGCUGAGGCGCGAAAGCGUGGGGAGCAAACAGGAUUAGAAACCCGAGUAGUCC